RNAcentral lists this ribosomal RNA (458 nucleotides) under uncultured bacterium. RNAcentral's name for it is "bacterial SSU rRNA". It matches the Rfam family "Bacterial small subunit ribosomal RNA", at positions 340 to 786 of the family's 1533-position model. The record is from RNAcentral.
UACGGGAGGCAGCAGUGGGGAAUAUUGCACAAUGGGCGAAAGCCUGAUGCAGCUAUGCCGCGUGUAUGAAGAAGGCCUUAGGGUUGUAAAGUACUUUCAUCGGGGAGGAAAAAACAAAACUAAUAAUUUUAUUUCUUGACGUUACCCGAAAAAGAAGCACCGGCUAACUCCGUGCCAGCAGCCGCGGUAAUACGGAGGGUGCUAGCGUUAAUCAGAAUUACUGGGCGUAAAGAGCACGUAGGUGGUUUUUUUAAAGUCAGAUGUGAAAUCCCUGGGCUUAACCUAGGAACUGCAUUUUGAAACUGAAAUACUAGAGUAUCGUAGAGGGAGGUAGAAUUCUAGGCGUAGCGGUGAAAUGCGUAGAUAUCUGGAGGAAUACCUGUGGCGAAAGCGGCCUCCUAAACGAAUACUGACACUGAGGGUGCGAAAGCGUGGGGAGCAAACAGGGAUUAGAUACC